This 300-nucleotide ribosomal RNA is filed under the name uncultured Halococcus sp. RNAcentral's name for it is "bacterial SSU rRNA". It matches the Rfam family "Bacterial small subunit ribosomal RNA", at positions 495 to 795 of the family's 1533-position model. The record is from RNAcentral. Lineage: Archaea; Methanobacteriati; Methanobacteriota; Halobacteria; Halobacteriales; Halococcaceae.
GGCUAAGCUCUGGCUAUGAGCGGGGGGGAUACGGGUGGUGCGAGGGGUACGCGGAGUUACGGGGCGUAUGGCGUGCGAUGGGGGUGCGUUAAGGCUGAGGGGAAAGCCCUGGGCUAAACCGGGGAAUGGCAUUGGAAACUGGCGACCUAGAGGGCGGUAGAGGGUAGUGGAAUUCCCGGUGUAGCAGUGAAAUGCGUAGAGAUCGGGAGGAACAUCCGUGGCGAAGGCGACUACCUGGACCAGCACUGACACUGAGGCACGAAAGCGUGGGGAGCAAAUAGGAUUAGAUCCCCAGUAGUC